This 23-nucleotide ribosomal RNA is filed under the name Phytophthora lacustris. RNAcentral's name for it is "partial 28S ribosomal RNA". The record is from RNAcentral. Lineage: Eukaryota; Oomycota; Peronosporomycetes; Peronosporales; Peronosporaceae.
UUGGACCUGAUAUCAGGCUAGAU